Molecule: ribosomal RNA, 275 nt
Filed under: uncultured Ohtaekwangia sp.
Lineage: Bacteria; Pseudomonadati; Bacteroidota; Cytophagia; Cytophagales; Fulvivirgaceae
Description: partial 16S ribosomal RNA
Rfam family: Bacterial small subunit ribosomal RNA
Source: RNAcentral
CCUACGGGUGGCUGCAGUAGGGAAUAUUGGUCAAUGGAUGGAAGUCUGAACCAGCCAUGCCGCGUGCAGGAAGAAGGCCUUCUGGGUUGUAAACUGCUUUUGUCAGGGGAUAAAAUAACCUUGCGAGGUGAAUUGAAGGUACCUGGCGAAUAAGCCACGGCUAACUACGUGCCAGCAGCCGCGGUAAUACGUAGGUGGCGAGCGUUGUCCGGAUUUAUUGGGUUUAAAGGGUGCGUAGGCGGUUCUUUAAGUCUGUGCUGAAAUACUCUGGCUUA